RNAcentral lists this ribosomal RNA (468 nucleotides) under uncultured bacterium. RNAcentral's name for it is "partial 16S ribosomal RNA". It matches the Rfam family "Bacterial small subunit ribosomal RNA", at positions 28 to 507 of the family's 1533-position model. The record is from RNAcentral.
GACGAACGCUGGCGGCGUGCUUAACACAUGCAAGUCGAACGGAAAGGCCCUGCUUUUGUGGGGUGCUCGAGUGGCGAACGGGUGAGUAACACGUGAGUAACCUGCCCUUGACUUUGGGAUAACUUCAGGAAACUGGGGCUAAUACCGGAUAGGAGCUCCUGCUGCAUGGUGGGGGUUGGAAAGUUUCGGCGGGUGGGGAUGGACUCGCGGCUUAUCAGCUUGUUGGUGGGGUAGUGGCUUACCAAGGCUUUGACGGGUAGCCGGCCUGAGAGGGUGACCGGCCACAUUGGGACUGAGAUACGGCCCAGACUCCUACGGGAGGCAGCAGUGGGGAAUAUUGCACAAUGGGCGGAAGCCUGAUGAAGCAACGCCGCGUGCGGGAUGACGGCCUUCGGGUUGUAAACCGCUUUCGCCUGUGACGAAGCGUGAGUGACGGUAAUGGGUAAAGAAGCACCGGCUAACUACGUG